This 480-nucleotide ribosomal RNA is filed under the name Ferruginibacter sp. RNAcentral describes it as "bacterial SSU rRNA". It matches the Rfam family "Bacterial small subunit ribosomal RNA", at positions 383 to 864 of the family's 1533-position model. Lineage: Bacteria; Pseudomonadati; Bacteroidota; Chitinophagia; Chitinophagales; Chitinophagaceae. The record is from RNAcentral.
CUGACCAGCCAUGCCGCGUGAAGGAUGAAGGCCCUCUGGGUUGUAAACUUCNUUUAUCUGGGACGAAAAAAGGGUAUUCUUACUCACUUGACGGUACCAGAGGAAUAAGCACCGGCUAACUCCGUGCCAGCAGCCGCGGUAAUACGGAGGGUGCAAGCGUUAUCCGGAUUCACUGGGUUUAAAGGGAGCGUAGGUGGGCUGAUAAGUCAGUGGUGAAAUCUCCGGGCUUAACCCGGAAACUGCCAUUGAUACUAUCAGUCUUGAAUUAUCUGGAGGUAAGCGGAAUAUGUCAUGUAGCGGUGAAAUGCUUAGAUAUGACAUAGAACACCAAUUGCGAAGGCAGCUUGCUACGGAUUGAUUGACACUGAGGCUCGAAAGCGUGGGGAUCAAACAGGAUUAGAUACCCUGGUAGUCCACGCCCUAAACGAUGGAUACUCGACAUCAGCGAUACACUGUUGGUGUCUGAGCGAAAGCAUUAAG